GUUGGGGUGGUCUAACAGACGCUCGAUUUCGACUCGGGAGGACUUAACACUUUUAAGCCCCAAUA
Molecule: transfer RNA, 65 nt
Filed under: Hydrophis platurus (pelagic sea snake)
Lineage: Eukaryota; Metazoa; Chordata; Lepidosauria; Squamata; Elapidae
Also listed under: 1 other name
Description: tRNA-Arg
Source: RNAcentral